This is an RNA transcript of Vigna angularis (adzuki bean), 1961 nucleotides long. It is a transcript of the gene named fasciclin-like arabinogalactan protein 4, with no coding region annotated. Lineage: Eukaryota; Viridiplantae; Streptophyta; Magnoliopsida; Fabales; Fabaceae. The transcript has 5 exons. The record is from RefSeq and is a predicted model, not a curated record.
ACUUCUCCAGUGCUCAUCUCAUCAUUCACAGCUUGCAAUAUGCAAUUUGCAUGCUCACACACUCACAACCUCACUUCACUCUCUCAUCUCAAUUCAAUUCAACUCAACACGACACAGAACAGAACACAACAAACAAAACAACCACUAACUAACACCGCAGACCACCGUCCAAUUCUCAAUCCGGCAACACUGCUCAACACAAUGCGUUCUCGAUCUCACCAUGGAAUUUCGAUUACCCAAAAUGCCCUCGCCCUGCUUUAUUUAUUCUGCAUCCUCACCAACCCACCUGCGUCCACGGCUCUCAACUUCACCGCGCUGCUCUCCACCGUCCCGGACCUCUCCCAAUUCACCGCGCUCCUCGCCUCCGCGACGCCUAUAACGGCGGAUCUCUCCGACCGCUCCUCCCUCUCCAUCCUCGCCGUCCCCAACGCCUUUCUCGCCGCCGAUGACCACCUCGCCCGCCACCACCUCUCCCCCGCCGCCCUUGCUGAUGUCCUACGCUACCACGUCCUCCUCCAGUUCCUCUCCUGGUCUGACCUCCGCGCCCUCCCCUCCUCCGGGAAACUCGUCACCACGCUCCUCCAGACAACCGGACGCGCUACCGACAACUUCGGCUCCGUGAACCUCACGCGCGACCCCCAAUCCGGCCUCGUCUCGAUCCGCUCCCCCGCCCCUUACUCCCCCUCAAACGUCACCGUUUUGUCCCUCGUCAAAACCCUACCCUACAAUGUCACCAUCUUCGCCGUCAAUUCCCUCCUCAUUCCCUACGGCCUCGACCUCAUGGCGUCCGAAACCCGCCCCAACAUCGUCCUCAACAUCACCAAAGCUCUAAUCGACGGCCACAACUUCAACGUCGCCGCCUCAAUGCUCGCGGCCUCCGGCGUAGUUCAGGAAUUUGAGGCUGAUGAGGGUGGUGCUGGAAUCACUCUUUUCGUACCGGUGGAUGAUGCCUUUGCUGAUCUUCCACCCUCUGUGGCCCUUCAGUCUCUACCUGCAGAUAAAAAAGGGGUGGUUCUUAAAUUCCAUGUCCUCCAUUCCUAUUACCCUCUUGGCUCGCUUGAAUCGGUUGUUAACCCCUUCCAACCCACCCUCGCCACUGAGGCCAUGGGUGCUGGUAGUUUCACACUCAACAUUUCGCGUGUGAAUGGCUCUGUUGCCAUCAACACCGGCAUUGUACAGGCCUCAGUCACGCAGACCGUCUUUGAUCAGAACCCUGUUGCCAUUUUUGGGGUUUCCAAGGUUCUCUUGCCGAGGGAGAUUUUUGGCAGGAAUCCUACUGUCACUGCCAAGCCUAUUGAAGGUGCUCCUCCGCCAGAUGAGGAUGCGCUGUCACCAGAGAAUUCGCCGGGAUUAGAUGGACAGCCCUCGCAUCUAUCAUCACCGCCGGGGUUUCGCGAAGAUGUGCGGUCACAUGGUGGUGGAGUUUGUGGUGGUUGCUUCUUACUGUUAUCUUACACCUAGAUGACCGUCAGAGAAGGGAGGAAAGCUGACAAAGCAGUUACAGCAUUAAUUAUGUGUGGACUUCAACCCUUUCAAUGCAGUUCAUACGUGCUCUUCAAAAAAUACUGAUGGGCCCAAUCCUCGAUCUAAGAGAAAAAUACUGGUCCCCUGGUUGCGGCUUGGAACAUGGACGUUCGUGAUCAGUAGCUGGACUUGUCUCGGGAGUGCACCUGGGCCCUUGCUGGCUGGCUCGGCUAUAUGCAUUGGUGAGGUAACUGUAAACUCACUCCAGUAUCCAAGACAAACCAUGCAGUAAGAUACAAUGUUUAGAUUAAAAAGCUAACAAAUUACGUGAUAUCUUGCGGAGAGGGAAGCGAUAAUGAUUGCAACACAUGUUCAUUGUGCUAUGUCUCGAUAAUAAGGUAAUCUAGAAUGUGACUUAUGGAAUUUGGCUUUAAAUUUCGUGUUGAUCCUCUUUGAAAUUCAACUGAGUUGGUUCUAGUCGAAGGUCUGCACAGUCA